UUGGGGGUCUCUUUUACUUUUUUAUAAAAGAAGGUACCAGAAUUUGUUAUACUCUAACCCAUAGAUUGUUAGGUCCGAACCUAUAAGUUAUUAGUCAUGGAUGCUGUUACGCCUAUAUGGUCACGUUCUAGAAAUUUGUUAAGAAAUUUUAAUUACUUUCCCAUAUAGCAAGUAGAGCUGAUAGGAUGAGAUCGGUGUGUAGCCGAAGUAUCGUCUU
RNAcentral lists this long non-coding RNA (217 nucleotides) under Elaeis guineensis (African oil palm). Its description in RNAcentral is "long non-coding RNA (EGUI_LNC018850)". Lineage: Eukaryota; Viridiplantae; Streptophyta; Magnoliopsida; Arecales; Arecaceae. The record is from RNAcentral.